This 460-nucleotide ribosomal RNA is filed under the name uncultured bacterium. Its description in RNAcentral is "partial 16S ribosomal RNA". It matches the Rfam family "Bacterial small subunit ribosomal RNA", at positions 338 to 795 of the family's 1533-position model. The record is from RNAcentral.
CCUACGGGAGGCAGCAGUGAGGAAUAUUGGUCAAUGGGCUUACGCCUGAACCAGCCAAGUCGCGUGAGGGACGACUGCCCUAUGGGUUGUAAACCUCUUUUGUCAGGGAGCAACGCCGGCUACGUGUAGCCGGACUGAGAGUACCUGAAGUAAAAGCAUCGGCUAACUCCGUGCCAGCAGCCGCUGUUAUACGGAGGAUGCGAGUGUUAUCCGGUUUUAUUGUGUUAAAAGGGUGCGUAGGCGGAAUGCCAAGUCAGCGGUAAAAUCGCGGGGCACAAGCUCGCUCCGCCGUUGAAACUGGCGUUCUUGAGUGGGCGAGAAGUAUGCGGAAUGCGUGGUGUAGCGGUGAAAUGCAUAGAUAUCACGCAGAACUCCGAUUGCGAAGGCAGCAUACCGGCGCCCGAUUGACGCUGAUGCACGAAAGCGUGGGUAUCGAACAGGAUUAGAUACCCUAGUAGUC